Molecule: ribosomal RNA, 1470 nt
Filed under: metagenome
Description: bacterial SSU rRNA
Rfam family: Bacterial small subunit ribosomal RNA
Source: RNAcentral
AGAGUUUGAUCAUGGCUCAGGACGAACGCUGGCGGCACGCUUAACACAUGCAAGUCGAACGAGAGGAGAGGAGCUUGCUUUUCUGAUCUAGUGGCGGACGGGUGAGUAACACGUGAGCAAUCUGCCUUUCAGAGGGGGAUACCGAUUGGAAACGAUCGUUAAUACCGCAUAACAUAAUUGAACCGCAUGAUUUGAUUAUCAAAGAUUUAUCGCUGAAAGAUGAGCUCGCGUCUGAUUAGCUAGUUGGUAAGGUAACGGCUUACCAAGGCGACGAUCAGUAGCCGGACUGAGGGGUUGAUCGGCCACAUUGGGACUGAGACACGGCCCAGACUCCUACGGGAGGCAGCAGUGGGGAAUAUUGCACAAUGGAGGAAACUCUGAUGCAGCGAUGCCGCGUGAGGGAAGAAGGUUUUAGGAUUGUAAACCUCUGUCUUCAGGGACGAAAAAAGACGGUACCUGAGGAGGAAGCUCCGGCUAACUACGUGCCAGCAGCCGCGGUAAUACGUAGGGAGCGAGCGUUGUCCGGAAUUACUGGGUGUAAAGGGAGCGUAGGCGGGAUCGCAAGUCAGAUGUGAAAACUAUGGGCUUAACCCAUAAACUGCAUUUGAAACUGUGGUUCUUGAGUGAAGUAGAGGUAAGCGGAAUUCCUAGUGUAGCGGUGAAAUGCGUAGAUAUUAGGAGGAACAUCAGUGGCGAAGGCGGCUUACUGGGCUUUAACUGACGCUGAGGCUCGAAAGCGUGGGGAGCAAACAGGAUUAGAUACCCUGGUAGUCCACGCCGUAAACGAUGAUUACUAGGUGUGGGGGGACUGACCCCUUCCGUGCCGCAGCAAACGCAAUAAGUAAUCCACCUGGGGAGUACGACCGCAAGGUUGAAACUCAAAGGAAUUGACGGGGGCCCGCACAAGCAGUGGAGUAUGUGGAUUAAUUCGAAGCAACGCGAAGAACCUUACCAGGUCUUGACAUCGUAUGCAUAGCUCAGAGAUGAGUGAAAUCUCUUCGGAGACAUAUAGACAGGUGGUGCAUGGUUGUCGUCAGCUCGUGUCGUGAGAUGUUGGGUUAAGUCCCGCAACGAGCGCAACCCUUACUGUUAGUUGCUACGCAAGAGCACUCUAGCAGGACUGCCGUUGACAAAACGGAGGAAGGUGGGGAUGACGUCAAAUCAUCAUGCCCCUUAUGACCUGGGCCUCACACGUACUACAAUGGCUGUCAACAGAGGGAAGCAAAGCCGCGAGGUGGAGCGAACCCCUAAAAGCAGUCUUAGUUCGGAUUGUAGGCUGCAACCCGCCUACAUGAAGUCGGAAUUGCUAGUAAUCGCAGAUCAGCAUGCUGCGGUGAAUACGUUCCCGGGCCUUGUACACACCGCCCGUCACGCCAUGGGAGUCGGUAACACCCGAAGCCUGUAGUCUAACCGCAAGGAGGACGCAGUCGAAGGUGGGAUUGAUGACUGGGGUGAAGUCGUAACAAGGUA